This is a long non-coding RNA of Cavia porcellus (domestic guinea pig), 685 nucleotides long. RefSeq lists it as uncharacterized. The transcript is spliced from 2 exons. NCBI's taxonomy places the organism in Eukaryota, Metazoa, Chordata, Mammalia, Rodentia, Caviidae. The record is from RefSeq and is a predicted model, not a curated record.
AAUCCGGAGCUCUCACAAGUGUUUGGAACACGCACCAGGGAAUGAAGGGAAUAUGAUCCCAGAGAGGACGGCUACUGGAACACCCCACAUGACUGGCCUGAACGACAAUCCAGUGGCAGCUUACAACCUAUGAAGGGACCUCACUCUCUUUGGGAAAGAAAAAACAAAAAACAAAGCUAACAACAACAACAACAAAAAAGAAAACCCAUGUGACUAAUAAAUGAGCAAUGAAAAGCUGACUCUUACCCCCAUACAGAUCAUUUAUCAAGAGAUCACAUUUGGGGACACAUUAUCAGAAGGUCCUCGUCGUGAACUCUGGGCACUGUGCCUUGUAGAAAUACUUUGAACAUCUAAGGCCUAGAGUGGGAGAUUCACAAGGACAAACUAGCUGAAAAUUGCUUUAAAGAAAUAGAAUCGAGGAAUAAACUUCAGCUAAAUCUGUCUCAAAUGAGAAAAGGAUCAACAGUGGGAGGGAGGGGAAAAGGGAUGAAAGAGGUAUUAAGAUGUGCUAUGAACCUGUACUGAAUCUACACAAAUAAUGUGACAUAAAUGUACUACAAAUAUGUACUAAAAAAAACCUUUCAUGGCUCUUCCCAUUACACUAGCGAAUUGUUCAUAGCUCAAGGUUUAACGGUGAAAUUCUAUGUCAUUGGAUCCACAAUAUAAUAUGAAGUUUGAUAUUUAA